This is a non-coding RNA of Rattus rattus (black rat), 438 nucleotides long. The record is from the annotation of a RefSeq genome assembly. NCBI's taxonomy places the organism in Eukaryota, Metazoa, Chordata, Mammalia, Rodentia, Muridae.
AUGACCUUCAGGAUUCUUCUCUAUGUUUUCCCGUGUCUUGUGGAAACUGUACUCAUGAACAGUAAAAUUACUCAGACACCAAGAUAUCUAGUCAUGGGAAGAGCAAAUAAUAAGUCUUUGGAAUGUGACCAACGCCUGGGACAUAAUGCUAUGUACUGGUAUAAACAGAGCACUAAGAAGCCCCUGGAGCUCAUGUUUCUCUACAGUCUUCAAAAAUUGAUUAGAAAUGAGACCGUGCCCAGUCAUUUCUUACCUGAAUGCCCAGAAAAGUCCAAGUUACUCCUACAUCUAUCUGCCCUGGAGCCAGCAGAUUCAGCUGUAUAUUUCUGUGCCAGCAGCCAAGACACAGCCCUGCAGACUUAUCAGCUCUCUGUACACAAACCUACAAGUUCAGGAAGCUGUGGAGCAAUUGAGGGCUACACUGAACAGUUCGUGUAG